UGCAGUCGGACGGGAUUGAGGAGCUUGCUUCUCAUGAGAGUGGCGCACGGGUGCGUAACACGUAUGUAACCUACCUUGUUCAGGGGGAUAGCCUCUCGAAAGAGAGAUUAACACCGCAUAAAAUCAAUUUAUGGCAUCAUAGAAUGAUCAAAUAUUUAUAGGAACAAGAUGGGCAUGCGGAACAUUAGCUAGUUGGUAAGGUAACGGCUUACCAAGGCUACGAUGUUUAGGGGAUCUGAGAGGAUGACCCCCCACACUGGUACUGAGACACGGACCAGACUCCUACGGGAGGCAGCAGUAAGGAAUAUUGGUCAAUGGACGCAAGUCUGAACCAGCCAUGCCGCGUGCAGGAAGACGGCCCUACGGGUUGUAAACUGCUUUUGUACCGGAAUAAACCUUUUCACGUGUGAGAAGCUGAAUGUACGGUAAGAGUAAGGAUCGGCUAACUCCGUGCCAGCAGCCGCGGUAAUACGGAGGAUCCAAGCGUUAUCCGGAUUUAUUGGGUUUAAAGGGUGCGUAGGUGGCCUAUUAAGUCAGGGGUGAAAGACGGUAGCUUAACUAUCGCAGUGCCUUUGAUACUGAUGGGCUUGAAUACACUUGAGGUAGGCGGAAUGUGACAAGUAGCGGUGAAAUGCAUAGAUAUGUCACAGAACACCAAUUGCGAAGGCAGCUUACUAAAGUGUUAUUGACACUGAGGCACGAAAGCGUGGGGAUCAAACAGGAUUAGAUACCCUGGUAGUCCACGCCCUAAACGAUGAAUACUCGAUGUUGGCGAUAUACGGUCAGCGUCUAAGCGAAAGCGUUAAGUAUUCCACCUGGGGAGUACGCCCGCAAGGGUGAAACUCAAAGGAAUUGACGGGGGCCCGCACAAGCGGAGGA
Molecule: ribosomal RNA, 879 nt
Filed under: uncultured bacterium
Lineage: Bacteria
Description: bacterial SSU rRNA
Rfam family: Bacterial small subunit ribosomal RNA
Source: RNAcentral